GACGUAGGGCGCGAGCGUUGUCCGGAUUUAUUGGGCGUAAAGAGCUCGUAGGCGGCUUGUCGCGUCGGCUGUGAAAACCCACAGCUUAACUGUGGGCCUGCAGCCGAUACGGGCGAGCUAGAGUUCGGUAGGGGAGACUGGAAUUCCUGGUGUAGCGGUGAAAUGCGCAGAUAUCAGGAGGAACACCGGUGGCGAAGGCGGGUCUCUGGGCCGAUACUGACGCUGAGGAGCGAAAGCGUGGGGAGCAAACAGG
This 253-nucleotide ribosomal RNA is filed under the name uncultured bacterium. RNAcentral describes it as "partial 16S ribosomal RNA". It matches the Rfam family "Bacterial small subunit ribosomal RNA", at positions 524 to 776 of the family's 1533-position model. The record is from RNAcentral.